Molecule: ribosomal RNA, 114 nt
Filed under: Chinchilla lanigera (long-tailed chinchilla)
Lineage: Eukaryota; Metazoa; Chordata; Mammalia; Rodentia; Chinchillidae
Source: RNAcentral
ACGGCCAUACCACCCUGAACGCGCACGAUCUCGUCUGAUCUCGGAAGCUAAGCAGGGUCGGGCCUGGUUAGUACUUGGAUGGGAGACACAAGGUGGAUUUCCUGUCUGCACGUC